AGAUUACUCCCUCUGUCCGGAAUUACUUGUCGCGAAAAUGGAUAAAAUUGAAUGUAUUUAGAACUAAAAUAUGUCUAAAUACAUUUAUUCCUUUGACAGGUAUUUCCGGACGGAGGGAGUAGUAG
This is a non-coding RNA of Triticum urartu, 125 nucleotides long. The record is from Rfam. Lineage: Eukaryota; Viridiplantae; Streptophyta; Magnoliopsida; Poales; Poaceae.